AGAACGAACGCUGGCGGCGUGGAUAAGACAUGCAAGUCGAACGCGAUUUAUCGAGUUAGCAAUAACUUGGUAGAUUGAGUGGCGAAAGGGUGCGUAACACGUGGGAAUUUACCGAGAAGUGGGGAAUAGCUCGACGAAAGUCGAAUUAAUACCGCAUGUGAUCGAAAGAUCAAAGCCGGGGACCGCAAGGCCUGGCGCUUCUUGAGAAGCCCGCGGCCCAUCAGCUAGUUGGCGGGGUAAAAGCCCACCAAGGCUAUGACGGGUAGCUGGUCUGAGAGGACGACCAGCCACACUGGAACUGAGACACGGUCCAGACACCUACGGGUGGCAGCAGUCGAGAAUUUUCACAAUGGAC
RNAcentral lists this ribosomal RNA (355 nucleotides) under uncultured bacterium. RNAcentral describes it as "SSU rRNA". It matches the Rfam family "Bacterial small subunit ribosomal RNA", at positions 26 to 376 of the family's 1533-position model. The record is from RNAcentral.